AUGGCCGGAAGCCCGCCGCCGCCCGACGCCUUCGCCUUCUCUUCUGACGGAGAGCUCUUCGCGGCCGUCUCCAAUCGGCGAAUCCAGGUAUGGAGUACAAGAGGAGGACAAAAGAAAGCAGGAUGGACUGAUCCAAUAGCAGCCCAAGAUGAUUCAUACAGUUGCAUUGCCUGCAGCUCUGUUCAGAAGAAGCACAAAAAGGAUGGCGACCUUAUUGUUGUUGCUGUUGGCACUGCAAAUGGUGUAGUUUUAGCUCUUGAUUCUACUGGUGUUAUAUGGAAAAGUGCUUGUCACACUGGGAAGGUCAUUUCUCUUCACUUUUCGAAACAAGGGCGUGUUCUUAUUACUGCUAGCAGGGAUGGAGUUAUAUGUGAAUUGGAUACUUGGACUGGAAAAUCCAAAAACACAUUAAAAGCUUCGAAAAAGUCAAUUAAUUCUUUGACACUUUCUCAUGAUGAGAAGUUUAUGGUUGUCUCAGGUAAGACAACAAAAUUAUAUAGUAUGAAGGACAAAAAAGAGAUUCUGAAGAUUCAUUCUGAUGAUGGCCCUAUCCAGCUGAUGUCUGUGUCCGAUGAAGCACACGCAUUAGUUUCUUAUACUGACAAUAAUAAAGAAGUCAAAGUCUGGUCUUGUGAUCACCAAAAUUGCACUGUCAUUUCUACAGUCUCCCUUGCCAUGCAUACUCAGCCAAAGACAGUAGAGUGUAAAAGGAGCACAUCAUAUGAAGCCGGGGGAAUUGUUCUUGCAGUAUCAAAGAAAGGUGUGGCUUAUGUGUGGGAUUUGCAGACCCUUUCCCAAGAUCAAGUACUGCCCACCAAAAUCUCAGUAAAAAAAUCACUUGAUAAAAAGGGCCGUGUGUCAAUUAUUUUAGCUAGGUUAUGUGAUGCCGAAGAAGACAACAUAAUUAAGGUUCAUGUUGUGUUUGGAUCACUAGACUGUUUACAGUUCAAGAUUGUUGUAUUGGGUGAGAAUUGUGAGGACAUCAACUUGGUUGCGGAAUCUGAUGCAUUAGCUUCAGAAGAGCAAGAUGCAAAAGUAAAUAACAAGAUGGAUGAUGAACAAGAUCGACAGGAGAAUACAAACCUCACUCGUCAAGGAAGACCAAACAAAAGGACAGCAUCUGUUUUGGAUUCUAUCACUGACACAGUCAAGGAGGGGAAUCCAGAGUAUAAUCUAGAUGAACCAACUAUGGAGCAGAAACUCGAGAGUCUAAAUUUGCUCAAUAAGUCUGAAUUCCUUGAAGAGCAAUCAGCCUCUCUGGCGCCGCCGAGUGCGGAUUCAGUCUAUAUUUUGCUGAAGCAAGCUUUGCGUGCUGAUGAUCACGCUGAAUUGUUGAAAUGCAUGUACAAUAGAGAUGAAAAGGUCAUUGUAAAGUCAGUAUCACUCCUAACACCAGGAGAUGCUCUGAAGCUUCUCAAGUUCUUCGUGUCGUCAAUACAAUCUAGGGGUGCAAAGCUGGUUUGUUUGCUCCCGUGGCUUCAAACUUUACUUAGCCGGCACAUGAGCAGCAUCGUGUCGCAGGAGUCUUCUCUGCUGUUGCUCAAUUCACUCUAUCAGCUUAUUGAUGCAAGAACGUCGACCUUCAAAUCAGCACUUCAACUCUCUACUACCCUUGAUUACCGUUUCAGUGAGAUUGCUGAUGAAGAAACUGACGAGGAAGAGGCGGCCGCACCGAUUAUCUACGAGGACAAGGACACAGAGGACGAAGAAUCUGACAUCGAUGCUAUGGAAACCGAUGGGGAGAGUGAAGAGCUCGGCGAUUCAGAUGGAAGUGAGAGAGUAUUAUGA
RNAcentral lists this ribosomal RNA (1788 nucleotides) under Triticum aestivum (bread wheat). RNAcentral's name for it is "partial small subunit ribosomal RNA". The record is from RNAcentral. Lineage: Eukaryota; Viridiplantae; Streptophyta; Magnoliopsida; Poales; Poaceae.